This 812-nucleotide ribosomal RNA is filed under the name uncultured Mycobacterium sp. RNAcentral describes it as "bacterial SSU rRNA". It matches the Rfam family "Bacterial small subunit ribosomal RNA", at positions 528 to 1338 of the family's 1533-position model. The record is from RNAcentral. Lineage: Bacteria; Bacillati; Actinomycetota; Actinomycetes; Mycobacteriales; Mycobacteriaceae.
UAGGGUGCGAGCGUUGUCCGGAAUUACUGGGCGUAAAGAGCUCGUAGGUGGUUUGUCGCGUUGUUCGUGAAAUCUCACGGCUUAACUGUGAGCGUGCGGGCGAUACGGGCAGACUUGAGUACUGCAGGGGAGACUGGAAUUCCUGGUGUAGCGGUGGAAUGCGCAGAUAUCAGGAGGAACACCGGUGGCGAAGGCGGGUCUCUGGGCAGUAACUGACGCUGAGGAGCGAAAGCGUGGGGAGCGAACAGGAUUAGAUACCCUGGUAGUCCACGCCGUAAACGGUGGGUACUAGGUGUGGGUUUCCUUCCUUGGGAUCCGUGCCGUAGCUAACGCAUUAAGUACCCCGCCUGGGGAGUACGGCCGCAAGGCUAAAACUCAAAGAAAUUGACGGGGGCCCGCACAAGCGGCGGAGCAUGUGGAUUAAUUCGAUGCAACGCGAAGAACCUUACCUGGGUUUGACAUGCACAGGACGCCGGCAGAGAUGUCGGUUCCCUUGUGGCCUGUGUGCAGGUGGUGCAUGGCUGUCGUCAGCUCGUGUCGUGAGAUGUUGGGUUAAGUCCCGCAACGAGCGCAACCCUUGUCUCAUGUUGCCAGCGGGUAAUGCCGGGGACUCGUGAGAGACUGCCGGGGUCAACUCGGAGGAAGGUGGGGAUGACGUCAAGUCAUCAUGCCCCUUAUGUCCAGGGCUUCACACAUGCUACAAUGGCCGGUACAAAGGGCUGCGAUGCCGCGAGGUUAAGCGAAUCCUUUUAAAGCCGGUCUCAGUUCGGAUCGGGGUCUGCAACUCGACCCCGUGAAGUCGGAGUCGCUAG